This is a non-coding RNA of Triticum aestivum (bread wheat), 115 nucleotides long. Lineage: Eukaryota; Viridiplantae; Streptophyta; Magnoliopsida; Poales; Poaceae. The record is from Rfam.
CUAGUACUCCCUCCGUUCGGAAUUACUCGUCCAAGAAACGAAUGUAUCUAGAUGUAUUUUAAUUGUAGAUACAUUCAUUUUUGUGACAAGUAAUUCCGAACGAAGGGAGUACAUA